GAGGGCUUAACUGUCUCCUGUAGCCAAUCAAUGAAAUUGAUCUCACAGUACAAAUGCUGUGAUACAACUAUAAGACGAGAAGACCCUGUGGAGCUUUAAACCUUCCACAUUAACUAAUUACCCUCAACUACUAUUAGUAUAACGUGAGUUUUAAGUUGGGGCGACUAUGGAGUAAAAAUAAACCUCCAAGUAAUACGAUUAAACCUCGUUACACACGGCUAACAAGCCUAGUCAAAACACACGACCCAGUCAAACUGACUAUCGAACCAAGUUACCCCAGGGAUAACAGCGCCAUCCCCUUAAAGAGUCCACAUCG
This 316-nucleotide ribosomal RNA is filed under the name Phelsuma lineata (striped day gecko). RNAcentral's name for it is "partial 16S ribosomal RNA". It matches the Rfam family "Bacterial large subunit ribosomal RNA", at positions 2006 to 2507 of the family's 2925-position model. The record is from RNAcentral. Lineage: Eukaryota; Metazoa; Chordata; Lepidosauria; Squamata; Gekkonidae.